AGUGAACGCUGGCGGUAGGCCUAACACAUGCAAGUCGAACGGCAGCACAGUAAGAGCUUGCUCUUACGGGUGGCGAGUGGCGGACGGGUGAGGAAUACAUCGGAAUCUACUUUUUCGUGGGGGAUAACGUAGGGAAACUUACGCUAAUACCGCAUACGACCUACGGGUGAAAGCAGGGGAUCUUCGGACCUUGCGCGAUUGAAUGAGCCGAUGUGGGAUUGGGUAGUUGGCGGGGUAAAGGCCCACCAAGGCGACGAUCCGUAGCUGGUCUGAGGGGAUGAUAAGCCACACUGGAACUGAGACACGGUCCAGACUCCUACGGGAGGCAGCAGUGGGGAAUAUUGGACAAUGGGCGCAAGCCUGAUCCAGCCAUACCGCGUGGGUGAAGAAGGCCUUCGGGUUGUAAAGCCCUUUUGUUGGGAAAGAAAAGCAGCAGGUUAAUACCCCGCUGUUCUGACGGUACCCAAAGAAUAAGCACCGGCUAACUUCGUG
This 492-nucleotide ribosomal RNA is filed under the name uncultured bacterium. RNAcentral describes it as "partial 16S ribosomal RNA". It matches the Rfam family "Bacterial small subunit ribosomal RNA", at positions 29 to 507 of the family's 1533-position model. The record is from RNAcentral.